Gadus morhua (Atlantic cod) is the source of this 2520-nucleotide long non-coding RNA. RefSeq lists it as uncharacterized. Lineage: Eukaryota; Metazoa; Chordata; Actinopteri; Gadiformes; Gadidae. The record is from RefSeq and is a predicted model, not a curated record. The transcript is spliced from 4 exons.
CCCGGACCAAGGAGAACUUCUAGGGGGGGAGACGACACGGAGCCCGGGCCGGAAACCAACAACGACCGAAGAAUAGUUUCCAAUAAGCUACACUUGCAAAAUAGCUAGCCUUUGGAUUCAUAUCUAAGGUCUGAUGUGUGGGACCGGCUCGGGACACCGAACCCAGCCGUCAGUGGGCGAAUAUCUGCAAGUGUGCAUAGCUACACAGCCGCAAGUGGGAGGGCCUUGUUCGUUCCCACAUCUGAUUGGUUAACCGGCUACCUUUAAAUAGAAACCCAAACAGCGUGACAAGAUCUGAGGCGUGGAAGAACCAAGCUAAGAUUCACGUGCCACUUGGAUGCCCGACAUGGCAGAGAUCCGGCAGGUUCAUGAGUCUGUGAGGCAUUUGGACAAUGUACUUGAGGUGUACCUCUGUAAGAAGUGCCCUAAUUAUCAUUGCCCUCUUUGCCCCGCUGAAAGAGUACAAUUCAAGGCUGUGCACGAGGCAGUGGGACAUCUCCAGAAUCAUUUAACAUGGACAGUUGUUCAUGGGUGUAAGUUAUUACUAUCAUAUGCCGAGAUGUUUUGUUUUGAGAUAUUGUGUAACUCGUUCAUUAGUGCCUUUCUUCAACAUUUAAAAUGGUUAUUAAAAAAAAAAAAAUGCAAAUAUGCUCAAAAGUGUAGCAUAAGACUUGUUUAUGUGCUUGUGCAUAUUGUUAAAAAAAUAUAAUAAAAUUGCAAAGUAUGUUAACAUUAGCUCUGAUAUUGUUAUUUGUGUUUACAUUGUACGUGAUAUUCCUCCUUGACCUUUUUCAGGUUUCAAAGUGUAUAAAUGUCACCUAAGCUGCCAUGAUAAACCCCAUUAUCACUGUCACAGUUGCCACAAAUUCAUUGUUAGAAGGUGUGACUACACCAGUCACAUUAAGAGGCAUCCUAGUCCAGCCGCCAAGCACCCUGGCUCACCUGAAAAGCCCUCUGCCUCAGCUGUUGUGCCCCCCAGUCCUUCUGUUGGACCCCCUGGUCCUGCGGUUGUACCCCCCAACCCUUCUAUGGGCCCCCCUCACCCGCACCCAAGACCUGCUCCGUCUGGCUUGGCAGCUGCCAGGGGGAAGUUUAAGGUGGAGUACCGUCCUAAAUUUGAUGUAAGGCUGUACACCGAAAAACAGUACAGUAUGGUCAAACAGUUUAAACCUCACAAUUUAUGUAUUACAGACAUUUUUUUCAAAGUACUCCUCGGACACGGUUAUCUAAUGUUCUACCAGUAUGAGCUGGAAUUACAUGUGUUAUUUUUUACUUAUUGUAUGUUACUUUGUAUGUACAACUUGCCUUUAUAACAUAUUUAUGGCUGUGCCUGGGACAGAUAUUUUGAAAUUCUAUAGAAUUAGGAAAUAAAUUAUUGCAGCAUAGUUUGGUAACGUGGCCAGAGAUGCUUAAUAGAAGUUAAACUUGCACUAAGUAAAAUUUCGAAAAGUAUAAUGCGCAGAUCUUGGUAGUCUCAUCCAGGUUAUUGGUAGUGGACUCUUGGAUUUUCUGACUAUACUGUAGGUUAUUAAAUGUUUCCAUGUUGCCACAAGCUGUGCCGCAAAAAGAUAAACUAAUUCUACCAUUUCUGUAGGUUCAUGACUCUGUGAGGCAUUUGGACAAUGCACUUGAGGUGUACCUCUGUAAGAAGUGCCCUAAUUAUCAUUGCCCUCUUUGCCCCACUGAAAGAGUACAAUUCAAAGCUGCGCACGAGGCAGUGGGACACCUCCAGAAUCAUUUAACAUGGACAGUUGUUCAUGGGUGUUACAAAGUGUAUAAAUGUCACCACAGCUGCCAUGAUAAACCCCAUUAUCACUGUCAGAGUUGCCACAAAUGCAUUGUUAGAAGGUGUGACUACAGCAGUCACAUUAAGAGGCAUCACCGCCCAGCUGCCAAGAGCCACGUCUCGCCUGAGGAGCGCCCUGCCUCAGCCGUUGUGCCCCCCACUCUUGGUCCCCCUGGUCCUCCUAUUGGACCUCCAGACCCUUCUAUUAAGCCCCCUGCCUCUUCUGAUGGACCCUAUGGUUCUCCCAUUGAUCCCCCGGCCCCUUCGGUUGUGCCCCCCGGUUCUUCUGUCGGACCCCCCGACCUGCGCCCCAGACCUGCUGUAUCUUGCCUCGUAGCUGCCAGGGGGAAGUUGAAGGUGCUGCACUGCCCUGAAUGUGACUUACGGCUCUACGCCAAAAACCUGAAGACACAUCUUGUCAGGAGGCACACUGCUCCCGGCGUCGAUGUUGCUUCUUCAAACCAGCUUGCCAGCCAGUGUGAUGCCGGCAGAAAUGGAGUUGAAACCACAAUAUUAUUAAAUACCUGAUACGUCAAUGUCAAAGGGUGUGCAUUCUUUUUAGGUGUUACACCUCUUCCUUUAUGUGUAUAGACUUACAGUGGAAUAUUUGUGCAGAUAAAUUUACAUCUCUGUGUACUGGUGUGAAUUGACUUUAAUCAGCUAAAAUGAAAAUAUUAUUCUGUGGGUCUUAACUGUUUUAGUUAAGUUAUACAUGCCUGUGUGUAUUAAAAGCA